UCAUUUAAGAUUGAACAACAUGGUGCCUUUGCCAGAAGUUAAUAGGAAACCCAAAAGGAGAUGAGCCAGACUGGAAGAAGAUAGACAAAAACACCAGAGGAGCUGCUCCCAGAUGGAGUGGACUUGCCAUACAAAACAAGGGAGUCCCAGCAGGGCAGGGAUCUGUAGUGGAUGGUGAUGCAGCACCCAGGAAACCUCAUCAGGAUGUAGCUACUCCUUCUCCCACUGCGGGCGGUACCAGCUGCUGAAGGCUCACAGCUGAGACUCUCUAAGGAAAGGGGACACAUAGCCCAGGAGCCCAGGUGAUGCCCACUCUCCAGGGACAGCCUGCACCAGUGACUAGACGCAGGAGGAAGAUGCCCACUGCCUGGCUUCUAUUUGUGAUGGCCUCUGAAGGGCUACCUCAGAUCCACUGCUGCCUUUGGGGAAACGGAGGUCCUUGUGGAGACCACAUUCCAUCUGAACUGCCUCUGCCCAAUCCUGCUUUCCUGACUUAUGGUUGUUGUUCCCAAGAAAACAUCCUCAUAAAUCAUUUCCAGGGAACCCAACUGAAGCCAUAAAUCCCUCCAGAAAAAAAUCUCCAAGGGGAGUCUCCCUGCAACUCAUGGGAUCGAAUUGGGCCCUAUGCCCAUCCCUUAAUCAAUGGCCCACAAAGAAAGUGAAUUUUCAUGCUGUCAUCUGCCGGAAUGUUGGGAAGUCCGUGACCAGCACGUUGACCUCUCCAGCGACGCCCCAAGAGCUGCAGCAUCACAGGAGUGGGAUGGACCGUGUCGGCUCUCUGGAUCUUUUGUGGCACUGAGCAGGGGAAUGCAUUGCAUGCCAUCCUGGGCACCCGCCUCCCAGAGGAACAGAGCAGCUGCUGCUGGUCAAUGUCUACCAUGAGGCUUGCAUCUGCCAGGCCCCUGUGCAUGCGAACCAAAGCAUGUACGUGUGUGCAUAUUUAAACUUCUCAAGUGGAAAGCUGAGUGGUCGCUGGGAACAAGCUACUGCCACAUGGGCCAUGGGAUAGGUGCCUUGACAGGACCAGGGCUUCGAAGAGCGGGGUCAGAGGUUGGCCAAGCCAACUUUGCCAAUUGGCGAGGUGAAAGCCAGCACACCGUCCACAUCCUGGCAGCCCAAAGUCAAGGCAUCCUUUGCAGUUCAAGCAAGAAAGCAGAGAAUCCUUCAGUCCUCAGUGUGGGACCAGCGCUCCCCAUUCCACAGCUGCGAAGGGAUGCAGUCUGCAUUGUUCAGGCUGCCCUGGAUGGAAUGGGGGCCGUGGUUUGA
Molecule: long non-coding RNA, 1266 nt
Organism: Pan paniscus (pygmy chimpanzee)
Lineage: Eukaryota; Metazoa; Chordata; Mammalia; Primates; Hominidae
Source: Ensembl